GACGAACGCUGGCGGCGUGCUUAACACAUGCAAGUCGAACGGAAAGGCCCUGCUUUUGUGGGGUGCUCGAGUGGCGAACGGGUGAGUAACACGUGAGUAACCUGCCCUUGACUUUGGGAUAACUUCAGGAAACUGGGGCUAAUACCGGAUAGGAGCUCCUGCUGCAUGGUGGGGGUUGGAAAGUUUCGGCGGUUGGGGAUGGACUCGCGGCUUAUCAGCUUGUUGGUGGGGUAGUGGCUUACCAAGGCUUUGACGGGUAGCCGGCCUGAGAGGGUGACCGGCAGCAUGGGGAUGGAGCAAAGGCCCAGACUCCCCCGGGAGGGAGAAGGGGGGAAGAUAGGACAAGGGGGGGGAGCCUAAUGAAGUAACCCCCGGUGGGGGAAUACGGCUUUUGGGUGGGAAACCACUUUCGCCGGGAAGGAAGGGUGGAGGGCGGUAAGGAGUAAGAAAGCACCGGCAAACUGCGG
RNAcentral lists this ribosomal RNA (467 nucleotides) under uncultured bacterium. Its description in RNAcentral is "partial 16S ribosomal RNA". It matches the Rfam family "Bacterial small subunit ribosomal RNA", at positions 28 to 506 of the family's 1533-position model. The record is from RNAcentral.